UGGCGAACGGGUGAGUAACACGUGGGUGAUCUGCCCUGCACUCUGGGAUAAGCCUGGGAAACUGGGUCUAAUACCGGAUAGGACCAUGCUUUAGUGUGUGUGGUGGAAAGUUUUUUCGGUGUAGGAUGAGCCCGCGGCCUAUCAGCUUGUUGGUUGGGUAAUGGCCUACCAAGGCGGCGACGGGUAGCCGGACUGAGAGGUUGGUCGGCCACAUUGGGACUGAGAUACGGCCCAG
RNAcentral lists this ribosomal RNA (235 nucleotides) under uncultured Actinomycetales bacterium. RNAcentral describes it as "partial 16S ribosomal RNA". It matches the Rfam family "Bacterial small subunit ribosomal RNA", at positions 96 to 334 of the family's 1533-position model. The record is from RNAcentral. Lineage: Bacteria; Bacillati; Actinomycetota; Actinomycetes; Actinomycetales.